GAACGCGUCCAGAACGUCUGAAAACGGUGGGGUAGCCUAUAAUCUUGACCCGAUUCUGAAAUGGUUCAAGCAACUUAUUUGCUCGGCUCGAAAUUGCAGAUCCGGGCGACGAUCGAAUUUUCACAAAAUGAUAGUACAUACUCGAAGUUCACAAUACCAGGGUUAGAAUAAUAUAUAUAUAUAUUAUUUGAAAAUUAGGGAUGUUACAUUCUUUCCCCUUUAUAGAAAAUUAGUCCUCGAAUUUUAUACAAGGCAGAAUAAAAUUAAAGGAU
This 272-nucleotide unclassified non-coding RNA is filed under the name Hevea brasiliensis (rubber tree). The record is from RNAcentral. Lineage: Eukaryota; Viridiplantae; Streptophyta; Magnoliopsida; Malpighiales; Euphorbiaceae.